CUAAGGAUGAUCCUUCAGCGAGCUCACGCUCACUAUCGGAUCGUUUUAGAAACAUCAGUGGCCAACAGAUCGCCAGAUCGUUGAGCUGCAUUGGCGGGAUUUCGCCGUCUUCGUUUCUCUUUCUUCGCGGACGAACACGCGCCGGGCCUGCAUCGAGCAGGAUCCCACGGUCCCUGACGGGAUAUGCGUUAGGGGCUUGUAGCUCAGUUGGUUAGAGCGCGCGCUUGAUAAGCGUGAGGUCGGAAGUUCAAGUCUUCCCAGGCCCACCACUUUCAUCGAGUGAGCAUUCGUCUUCUGGUUACGGGGCCAUAGCUCAGCUGGGAGAGCGCGUGCUUUGCAAGCAUGAGGUCGUCGGUUCGAUCCCGUCUGGCUCCACCAGAUGGUUUGAUCACCGAGAUCUUGCACCGUCGUCCGCGAAACAUCACUUCGCAUCUCGCUAGUCUGGAUAGACAGCAAGAUGCGUGUUUUCUGACAUCGUAAAGAGGAGAUCGAUCCGAGUUGGAUCGUGCGGCAGAUUGUUGCGCGAAUCCUUCAUUAUCUCCGGAUCAUUUCGGCGCUCGCUCUCAGCCGUGAGGUUGAAUGCGAGUUGUAAAAUGAUCCUUUUAGCGAAGCUUGACCGCCUCGCUAUCGGAACGAUCUUACGAAGCAAGCUGGUCUUUCUAGUCAAUGUCCGGCUGCACGUAGCAUUCAUCGAGGGUGCGCGCCGAAAGGCAAUCGUGCAGACAACAUUCUGCCGAGUGUGUGGACAUUGAUAAUGAGAGC
RNAcentral lists this transfer RNA (762 nucleotides) under Bradyrhizobium yuanmingense. RNAcentral's name for it is "16S-23S ribosomal RNA intergenic spacer". The stretch from base 193 to 266 matches the Rfam family "tRNA". The record is from RNAcentral. Lineage: Bacteria; Pseudomonadati; Pseudomonadota; Alphaproteobacteria; Hyphomicrobiales; Nitrobacteraceae.